CCUGGCCAAAUCAUAAUGAAAUAGAGACUCUUACAAAUAAGUUUUAUCGAAGAGGUAAUAUACCAGGAGUGGUCGGGGCAAUAGAUGUAGCUAACAUAAACUUUAAAGCGCCGACGGAGCAGCAAGAGAGCUAUAUUGAUAGAAAAAUGCAGCACAGUAUUAAGUUGCAGGGUAUAUGCACCUCUGACAAAAUUUUUACUAAUAUAGUGGUGGGCUGGCCAGGUUCUGUUCAUGAUAGUAGGGUUUUCCAAAAUUGUGAAAUCUUUAGGAAAGUAUCCAAUAACAUAGACAGGAAUAAAUAUUUUCCUACAUUG
Anoplophora glabripennis (Asian longhorned beetle) is the source of this 314-nucleotide long non-coding RNA. RefSeq lists it as uncharacterized. The transcript is spliced from 3 exons. Lineage: Eukaryota; Metazoa; Arthropoda; Insecta; Coleoptera; Cerambycidae. The record is from RefSeq and is a predicted model, not a curated record.